GUGUGUUUACAGCUGUAUUUAUUGUUUAAUCAGGGAAAGAUAAAGGACAACAAUUCUUUUGUUGUACCAGCCGGACACACUUAUGCCUACAAGCUCAAUGAGCUAAAAUUCAGGAAAGAGGAGACUGGAACUACAUUUGAGCUUUGCUCCUUUUCUCAUCAU
Plectropomus leopardus (leopard coralgrouper) is the source of this 162-nucleotide non-coding RNA. Lineage: Eukaryota; Metazoa; Chordata; Actinopteri; Perciformes; Serranidae. The record is from RefSeq and is a predicted model, not a curated record.